AUUGAACGCUGGCGGCAUGCUUUACACAUGCAAGUCGAACGGCAGCGCGGGCUUCGGCCUGGCGGCGAGUGGCGAACGGGUGAGUAAUGCAUCGGAACGUGCCCAGUAGUGGGGGAUAGCGCGGCGAAAGCCGGACUAAUACCGCAUACGACCUGAGGGUGAAAGCGGGGGACCGACAGGCCUCGCGCUAUUAGAGCGGCCGAUGUCGGAUUAGCUAGUUGGUGGGGUAAAGGCUUACCAAGGCGACGAUCCGUAGCUGGUCUGAGAGGACGACCAGCCACACUGGGACUGAGACACGGCCCAGACUCCUACGGGAGGCAGCAGUGGGGAAUUUUGGACAAUGGGGGCAACCCUGAUCCAGCCAUGCCGCGUGCGUGAAGAAGGCCUUCGGGUUGUAAACCGCUUUUGUUCGGGAAGAAAUCCUCUGGGCUAAUACCCCGGGGGGAUGACGUUACCGGAAGAAUAAGCACCGGCUAACUACGUG
This 484-nucleotide ribosomal RNA is filed under the name uncultured bacterium. RNAcentral describes it as "partial 16S ribosomal RNA". It matches the Rfam family "Bacterial small subunit ribosomal RNA", at positions 28 to 507 of the family's 1533-position model. The record is from RNAcentral.